GAUGAACGCUGGCGGCGUGCCUAAUACAUGCAAGUCGAGCGAACAGACGAGGAGCUUGCUCCUCUGACGUUAGCGGCGGACGGGUGAGUAACACGUGGAUAACCUACCUAUAAGACUGGGAUAACUUCGGGAAACCGGAGCUAAUACCGGAUAAUAUAUUGAACCGCAUGGUUCAAUAGUGAAAGACGGUUUUGCUGUCACUUAUAGAUGGAUCCGCGCCGCAUUAGCUAGUUGGUAAGGUAACGGCUUACCAAGGCGACGAUGCGUAGCCGACCUGAGAGGGUGAUCGGCCACACUGGAACUGAGACACGGUCCAGACUCCUACGGGAGGCAGCAGUAGGGAAUCUUCCGCAAUGGGCGAAAGCCUGACGGAGCCACGCCGCGUGAGUGAUGAAGGUCUUCGGAUCGUAAACCUCUGUUAUUAGGGAAGAACAAAUGUGUAAGUAACUAUGCACGUCUUGACGGUACCUAAUCAGAAAGCCACGGCUAACUACGUG
RNAcentral lists this ribosomal RNA (497 nucleotides) under uncultured bacterium. RNAcentral describes it as "partial 16S ribosomal RNA". It matches the Rfam family "Bacterial small subunit ribosomal RNA", at positions 28 to 507 of the family's 1533-position model. The record is from RNAcentral.